Molecule: long non-coding RNA, 1403 nt
Organism: Brassica napus (rape)
Lineage: Eukaryota; Viridiplantae; Streptophyta; Magnoliopsida; Brassicales; Brassicaceae
Exons: 2
Source: RefSeq, a predicted model, not a curated record
AUUUAUUAGUUUUAUUCAGUAAUCUAUUUUUCUAUUGGUUGAAAUAUGAUUAGGUGUAUCGGUAAUUAUUAUAUAGGAAAUGUACAAAAUUAAUUGUUUCCUUAGUCCGUGUGCACAGACCCAAAAAGACACUUAAUAUGAAACAGAGGGAUAUGUUGGGUGAACUGGAGUUUUCAUCAUCUUCAUCUUCCGUUUUCUGAUGAAAAUCGAGGGCUGUCACUAUCUCCAUUAGUGAUAGAUCUUGCUCGAUCCUUUAUUCGGUUAUUGGCGUUAUUCCUCGUCGUAUUUGGCGUGUGUGUUUUCCCUUUAAUAGGGUGGGUGUAUGAAUCUGGUCUCCUCCGUCAUGAAGAUCAAACUACCCAUUUGGUUUAAAGGCCUUGACAGACGACGUGUCUUGACUUUGCCGAGAUCGUGUCCUUGUUAAACAUAGGCGAGUUUUGAGCAUCUUACAAACACAUCGUUUAUGAUAUUGCUAAAGUUUAAGCCAAAGCAAAAGCUUAUUAUUACCAAAAAAGGAGUGUUAAUCUUUAACGUCUAAUUUUACGAACUCAGUAGUAUUAUAUAGUCAAGCAAAUUAAUUUGGGUUAUUCACUAGUCAAUUAAAAAUCUAAGAUAUUGAAAUUCUAAUUUAAUAAUUUAUCUAUAAUAUAUAUGAGUGAAAUGAAAUAUGAUAAAAUCCUGGAAUAAUAUCUAUAAUUUAUCUAUAGUAUCUGCUCCACUAAAAUAAAAUGAUAAUAUCCUGCCAUCCUGGAAAUUGAGUGAUGCUAAUAUAAUAGAAUAAACUUUGCCUAAAACUACCAAAACUUCAAGACCCAUAAGUGAAAUCUAAGUCUUCGAUGGCUUCUACUCUAACACAAACCACACAAACCAUAAAUAGUUUCCACCUCUUCAUUCUAUAUAAGCAUACGAAUGAGUCAUACUGAUCAUCAUUCAUUAGUAAAUUAAGAUACAAUACUAAGAUGGCAUCUUCUAAAGUAUCUUCCAUGCUUCUCUUUCUCCUCCUUCUCGUUCUUGUGUUUCCCCAUAUGGAUAAAGCCCUUGGUGAAGAAAGACAGCUCCACGAACUUAAAGGCACAGAGCAUCCCGAUCAACUGAUGACGGUUGGAAGGAGCCUUCUCUUUCGCAUCCCUCCAUGCCCACCGUCCUUAUGUAAGCCUCGUCCGAUAAGAAUUCCUCCCCGACUUCGUACACCUCCACCCCCUCCACGGCAUUGAAGGUUUCCAAAAGGCAAAAACACAUGGAUCCCAAAAUAUUUGGAUGAAAAUAUAUUUUCGUAAUUCCUCACUAUAAAUGUAAUUCUGAAAUUUUCUUUCAAAAUAAAGAGAUCAUGCCACUCGGGAUGAUGGUAUGAUGAUAUGUUGUUGUAAGUUUUAAGCUAUUGUAUGAUGAUAUAUUUGUUGAUA